This 28857-nucleotide long non-coding RNA is filed under the name Brachypodium distachyon (stiff brome). RNAcentral's name for it is "long non-coding RNA (BDIS_LNC000334)". The stretch from base 19054 to 19189 matches the Rfam family "MIR1120/MIR1122 microRNA precursor family". Lineage: Eukaryota; Viridiplantae; Streptophyta; Magnoliopsida; Poales; Poaceae. The record is from RNAcentral.
CCGAUCUCACUGACCUUCCUAUUAUUGCAACACGAGAAAUCCAUACAUACCAACCUUUACAAUAAUUUUCAAAACUUUCAAAAAUGUUACUCGUACUCCUUACAACAUUUCUUCUUCUUUUUGUACCGACUCGUACAACAUUUCAAGCAUGCAGUCCGUAUGAAACAUGUGCAUCGUAAAUACCCCACACACAACGUAUACAACAACGGAAAUAUAUUUACAACUAGUCAAAAGCGUUACUACGGAGAAUAAAUACGAAUAGCAUGAAGAAUCUUUCUUCUCUUUUUCCACUUUCAUUUCAUCCCUUGGUUUGAAUGUUGAUUUGCUUCACAAGACAUGCUACUCAGUUUGGUAUGUCGGUGCGCAUUUGGUGGAUGACAACCCGUUAAGCAAACUUAAAACAUGUGUCAAUAACAACAUUCAUAUGCAACAAGCAAUGGAAGUGAAAAUGCAAUGGGUUUUCAUUAAUUUCUCAACAAUUUUAUCAAGUAAUAGACAGUAGAAAAGGUUCUAAAAACAAGUAAAUGGUCAGAUCUCAGAUGAAUUGACUCAAAAGAAAAAUUUACUAAUCAUUACGUGCCGAUUAUUGGGUCACUGCAUGCACUUUAGAUCAAUGCGUUUAGAGAAUCUCUAGCAUGUCUCUAAACUCAUUCUCAAUCUCUAAAAGCUGUUACCGUUCUUAAAACUGCUCAAAAACAUGCUCCAAUUGGUUCCUGGUCCAUUCUCAAUUCCUAAAAACAAUCUAAGAAAAGCUUCGAGUGAAACCAACUACCGCUUUUGUACUUUUCAGGACUGAUCCAACUCGACCCGGCGCCGUCGGGACGCCGCCGCCGACCUCCUCCGGACACCACCCUGUCAUCCGCGUCCUAUCCGUCAUCCCCCAAGCCUCCCGACCCCAUCCCUUGCCCAGUAACAUCCUAUUGUUAACCGCACUAAUUUACAUAAGGUGCUGACCACAAUGCAGAGAUGCAAGUGUUUGAGCUAUGUGCAUGCCAAAGAAAUCAAAUGGCUUAUGUGCACUUGAUAAUUUUGUCAAAUGGAUUCACUGCAGAGGACUCAAGCAGACUAAAUCGUGAAUCGUAACUUAAUAGAUAGUACUCAAGUCACUUAUUUCAGGACAAGGGGAGUAACAAAUAUGAAAAUAAUCGAUAAUAACCUAUGAAACACAUUCCAAAACAUGUACUCUGGCAACAAGAGUCGAAUCAACCUAUGCAACGACCAAAAAUCUGAACAUUGUACACUUUUUACCAUUUAUGAUUUGACACCACUCUCGACGCAUUGGCCUGUCGGAGCUCCCCUAUCAUCAGGUUAGAUCAAAGCUUGGUUUUGAUACACCCUUAAGCCACCAUUUUUGCUUGGCUCAUUGGCAUGGUUAACGAUUGUUUCAAAUUGUACAUGGCCACAAGCUCCGCUUUCUCUCCACGGUGAAUUAAUUCUCCCCUAAGGAGCAUGGAUAACCAAAGGAGAUAGGAAUACAUGAGCUAGAGCUAGGAUGGAUAUCUUAAACAGGGUGGAUGGCGUCCCACUAAUAGAUUGCUAGUUGAUACAUAUGUACAUUUUUUUGUUUCAUCUAUUUUGUUGUUUGCUUGUCGUACCCAUCCUUUUAUGAUCCCUGAACCGUAAGACUUUGGAACUAAACGUUAAAAUAAAAGUUCUUAGGUGCAUCAAUUGAUGCAAAGGCCGAAGAUACCCUGUUUUCAUUUUCAAAGAACGAAUGAGCUGGAAGAGUAAAACCCCAAGAAGGUCAGGAUGUAAACGGCGCCCUUAGCGGCGCUGACGGGCUCGUCAGAUGUUCUUUCCUAGCACAAAUUUUGUUUUGUACGUCAGCUGCUUUGGUCUUUAUUAGGAAUAAACGGGCCUUAAACGGCUGCCCGUUUACAUCCUUACAAGAAGGACAAGGAUGGAGGAAGCGUGACAUCCUCACAUCCAUGAAGUAGUGGUCUAGCUCAGUCUACAAGUGUACUGGGACCAUUGACACUUUCACUCUCGUUUUAAUUUUUUCGAUCAUUUCAAUAUGACAGGGCGACCAUCACAGUUGCUCUCCAAAAAAAAACCGACCAUCAUGGUUCACAGGUUACAAGCGUUACCCAUCGUACUUUAAAAAAUGUCCAAACCUCUACUUGAACUACAAGCCGAAGUACGUGCAUACUCGCAGAAAUGACAUUUUAUCAUGAAUACCAUCACAUCGAUGCAAGAAGUGUUUGCCUUUUUGCGCAUAAGAAGUGUUCUUUGAAGCGUCGUUGUCGUUGAGAAAGCUUGGAUUUGGCAACUCUGUGUGAGCAUGAACAUGCAUUGUGGACAUUGCUGUCAAAAGUCAUACUUAUUUAUGCCUAACUAAACAGGAUGAAAUCCAUGUUUUUUUUAUCAAGUCCGAAGAAUAGAUCUCGCCUAAAUUUUAAACUGAAGAGAACAGAACAGAGGGGUAACUGAGGAACUGAAACUAAAAAAAAGGCUCCUAGAUCCUAAUUGUUGGAAAUCAAAUUGGUAGGUUUGUUUAAUUUAAAAUCAGCAUUUCAGGUUUGGACUGAAUUUCGUAUAUAAAGCAAUUUAUUUAUUUUACAUAAAUUUUAGUUAUAUUUGGAUUUCAUCAAAACAAAUUCCUCGUGGUCGUAUCAUUCUUCGCUAAACCUCCCUCUUGUCAAUCUUUGAUCCGUGACCAAUUUGGCAAGCUGAGCAAGAGAUAGCUGAAAGCUUAUUUUUCUUUUGAGAGUGUUAUUUCUCAGUCGACUAAAAAAAUAGUUAUUUCUCAUCUAUAAUCGUAGCUAUCUAAUCAAGAUCUUUUUAUUAAUCGGACAUAUAUUAAUCUUACACGAACUCGAUAAUUGAAUAAAAAAUUAUUAUCAUCAACUGGGAAAUAAGAAAUAGUCCGAAGAAAUACUCGUUUCUCAGUCCUAAGAAUUCUUAGGAAAAACCGUUUUCUUUUGCAAACGAGUACGCACGACAGCAGCAAACCGCUGGACGAACCACGAGAAGGAAUCUUGACUAUUGACUGCUGUGGCACCUGAAGCCACCGACUAGAUUCCCACGCACUAGUGCCCUACUCUACUGCACCGUGGAACCAAGAGCCCCUUUCCCUCUCUCUUUUGAUCAUUUCAACAAAGUGAAAUAUACAGUGGUAAAUAUCGCACGCACGCAUCGGCCUCCCCGAAAACGUCCAAAUUCCUUCUGCCCAAGGGAGAAAAAAGGGGUCUUGUUUGCUUUCUUUUCACCUCAUCUGCUUGUUCCCCUCCUCCAUGGACCUCAACGCAACACCAUGCUGCGGCUGCUGCACUGUUCUCUAGCUUUCCUUUCUGGAGCGCUUCUGUUUGUCGCCGUUCCUACUUCUAGGCGUGCGCCUUUCAAAAAUCUCCACUUCCCCCAACGAAGCAUUCCCCUCGUUCUGCUAUAAAACUCGUCCAAAAUUUUUCCAAAUCAAACGCAGUCGAUCGAUCGAACACAGCACACCCAAAAUGCCGCGUUUCCACCAUUGCUCGUCCAUGUUCCCCCUGCUGAUCCUCCUCUUCAAUCUUCCUACAUGGUCUGUGCAAGGAUUAGUCACCAAUGGGGGCCACCAAGACCUCUCUUUCCUCCUCUCCUUCAAGGCAUACAACCCAAACAACGCCAAGUCCCUGGCUACCUGGGUCGGCCCCAACCCGUGCUCCGGCUCAUGGGCCGGGCUCAGGUGCUCCAGGGGCAGAGUGGCAGGCGUCUUCCUUGACAACGCCGGACUCGCCGGCAGCGUGGCGCCUCUCCUCAGGCUCACCCAGCUCAGGGUGCUCGCCGUUAGAGGGAACUCCCUGUCCGGCCCUCUCCCUCCCCUCGACAACUCCACGAACCCGACCCUGAGGCACCUGCUGCUCUCCCACAACGACCUCACCGGACCCCUCAACCUCUCGCUGCCUUCUCUGGUCACUCUGAAAGCAGAGCACAACGGAUUCCAUGGCGGCCUGCGAGCGGUGCGCGUGCCGAUGGUCAGAAGGUUCAAUGUGUCCAUGAACAUGCUUGCCGGCGAGAUCCCCGGCUCGCUGUCGGGUUUCCCGAGCUCGUCUUUCGCCGGCAAUCUCGGUCUCUGCGGCACGCCUCUCCCGAGAUGUGUCCAUGCGUUCGAUGCACUGGAAGAUGUCGCUCAAUCUCCUAUUGCGGCAGCAGAUAUAAGUAAUGGAAGACUCAGUAAAUUCAGCUUGGCUGCGCUCUUGGCCACUGGCAUUGGCAACGCGGUGCUCAUCACGGCCUCGUUGGCCAUCUCGGUAGCCAUGUUCAUCUACAUGAGAAGAAAGCUGAGAUCCCAAACAAAGGACGAAGCGGCUUCUUCCAGAGCGGGCCUCUGUUUCGAAGACGAAGACAAGAUCAUCAUGAGGAAUACCAACGACGAAGAGAAGCCGUGCGCGCAGAAGAGCGGCGCGCUGGUGCGCUUCGAGGGCGGCGAGGAGCUGCGGCUGGAGAGCCUCCUGAAGGCCUCGGCGGAGGUGCUGGGGAAGGGCGUGUCCGGGAGCACCUACAAGGCGGUCCUCGAGGACGGCAUCGUGGCGGCCGUGAAGCGGCUCAGCGCGCUGCAGUUCCCCGCGGGAGGGCGCAGCGGCAGGGCCUUCGACCGGCACAUGCGGCUCGUGGGCGCGCUCCGGCACCGGCACGUCGUCAGCCUCAGGGGCUACUGCAGCUCCAACGGCGAGCGGCUCCUCGUCUAUGACCACCUCCCCAACGGCAGCCUACAGUCCCUUCUGCAGCUGCAAGGCAAUGGCGAGAGAAGGCUAGGCUGGGCGGCGAAGAAGAGCGUCCUGUUCGGCGCGGCGCAGGGGCUGAGCUACAUACACACGGCGGGGAUGGCGCACGGGAACGUGAAGCCGUCCAACAUCCUGCUGGACGAGCGUGGCGCCGCGUGCGUGUCCGAGUGCGGGCUCAUGAGCUACGCCGCGGCCGGCAUCGUCCAGCAGCAGCAGCAGCAGCAGCCCAGGUGCCCGCCCGAGCUGAUGUUCAACGGCAGAGAACGCGGCGGGGGAUGGCGCGGGUACGCGGCGCCGGAGCUGCAGGCGGCGCCGGGCGCGAGGGCGACGCAGGAGGCGGACGUGUACAGCUUCGGGAUGGUGCUCCUGGAGGUGGUGACGGCCGGCAAGGGCAGCGGCGAGGAAGAAGAGGGGGAAGGGGAGGAGACGAUGGGGAUGGUCAGGAUCGGCGUGCUGUGCACCGCCGAGGCGCCGGAGGAGAGGCCCCGGAUGGCGCAGGUGCUCGCCAUGAUGAGCGAGUUCAUGUGAAGCACUGCAAGUGUUUGAAGAACUGUCAUGGACCCAUGAACGGUAUUUCUCAUUUUUCUCCUCUUGCUUUGCAGCUGCAGCCUGCAGCAAGAGAUCGAGGCGAUGCUGCCAUGAAUGUAAGACUGGAGAAGUAGAGAACAAGUUUUAAGAGUUGGAUGUUGAUUUGUUGUAAUCUGAGUAGUUUAUGUCGCUAAUCAAAUGCAUUCAACCCGGCGACCGGCGCCGGUGCAGCCGAUCGAACUGUUCAUUUUUUUAUCUUCUCUGAGAAAGGCCAAUCGAAUCAUUCGCUCUGGGCCUCAACGAUGGUAAAGAGGAGACCGGCGGCCCAAAACAAUUCUGCCCAAGACCUGUCCAAUUUCGGCCUCGAUGGCCCAGUAUCAAAUAGCCCCGGCUUUAUGGGCUUGGUUUUUUUAAGGGAAAAGGAGGGACUGACAGCCGAUGGAAAAUACGAUAGGGGGUUACGCUGUAAGCACAGACGAACAGUCGCGGUCCAGUCCGGUAAAAUAACAUCCAUGGUUGCAUACCACGCUUUCAGUUACGCCGAGUUUCUCUAAGAAAAAAAAAAGGUUACGCAAAAGAGUUCGCAGCGGGCAACAUCGUGUCUCGAAGGUGUUUGCCUCGCAAGCAAUCACGCCAGUAAACCCUUGAUCAUUAAUUGAGGCCGACCGCGUCUCCCUCCUGCAAGCCUGGAACCGUGGCACGCUUGUUUGGCCACCUAUUAGAGACAUUAUCUCUUCUCUCGCAGAUGGUCCAAACUUCCUUUCUUGCGAAGGUUCAGAGAGCUGGCAAACAGUGUAGCGUAUGAACUAGGCCAGCCAGACAGUACGAAGUACAGGUCUCAACGACUACUGAGGUCGUGUGUGUGUCAUUCAUUGUGUGUUUAUAUAUCCAACCUCUUCUUCUAAUAAAAGCUUUCUGUUAUUUGUCGACCAAAAGAGGAACCAAAAUAGCAGUCCCCUGCAGAGCUACUACAGCCUACAGAUGCACUGAGUGUACCUUAGUGUGGUGAGACGAAAAGAGAGACUCUCUGUUCUUCUACUUUUUGACCGUAAACACACGUCCGAUGCGAUGAGAUAGAUGAGCUAAAGAAUGCUUCGGUUCUCUUUUUACCGUUGCCAUGAUACAGUUGGUAUGGGUGCCCUACCAUGACAACUCAUAUGUGGACCAGUGCUUAACAGCAGCACAUGGCCGCAACAUGCUUCAAUUAUUUCAACCUUUGGAAUUGGAUACCCUCACCGAAUUGACAACCCGGCAUCUCCAAACAAACCUCAAAGUACAGAGCAUCGCUCAGAAAGAAAAAAAUCCCCCCAGGAAAAGAAAAGCUUAUUCUGCAGUUUUGCCUAGCCACUUGCAAUGCUCGAUUGGCUGAUGGAUUCUUUAGUUUUACAAAGCCAUUUGCAAUGCUCGGUUGGCUGAUGAUCGAAGAUCUUAAGUCAUAGGGACAUAUUCCUCUUUUUUUUUAGGGAAAGAAGACAUAUUCCCGUUUCCUUAGCGUGUUCUUUGUUUACUGACAGAAGGCAUGAGGUUCCCCUUUUGAACCAUCAAAAGCUUUGUUUCAACUGACGGCUAGAAAAUGCGUUGUGUAUAUAUGUCAAAUGUUCAGAUGAUAAGUUGGCGGCUGGACAGAGUUCUGAAUUUCACAGCACAAAAUUUCCUCAAAACGCAUUACUGCAAGACAGUAGCAUCAAGGCUGUUGUUGAUUUAGAAGCUGAAGAAUUAAGAAUGAAUCAAUCAAAUAAAUGGUCUCAUUCAUAGCAAGAACAAGGGUAAGUACAUGAUCGAUCACCACCACCACAAAGAAUGGCACGCCGGCGCACGCACUACGUCACACACACACACACUCACGCACACCUCCCCCCCCGGAGCAGGACACCGCCGCGACCCAUACAUACACGCACGCCCACACGCCCAAACACACACCUCCACACGACACCAAGGAGCAAACCAAGAGACAACCAGGAACCGCGGAACCGCACGCGACGGAGCCACAGAUCUAGCAGAAGAGGUAUCCGAAGGCGGCGGCGGCGAAGGAGGCCGCGGCGAGGGGCAGCGCGGCGGCGGCGGCGUCGGAGGCGGGCGCCGGUGCCGGGGCCUCGGCGGCGGCCGCGGAGGCGACGAGCGCGGCGGCCAUGGCGGCGGCGGCGACGAACUUCAUCCUGAGACCGGCCAUGGGUGGUGGUAGUAGUGCUCUCGUCGGCGUCGGAGGAGAGAUCUCUCUAGGAGCGUGGGAGCUGGCUAGAGAGAUGCUCUGCGCGCGGAGACGGAGGAGCUAGCUAGGCGGCUUUGUGGAUGGAGGUGGGAGGGAGAGGAGCGCAGUGGGGGAGGGUUAUAUAGCGAGCGAGGCCAGGUAGGUCGCGUAGGAAGGAGAAGAGUACGGCUGGCCGUUUGUUCGUUCGCGUUUGGUUAGGCUGGCGCUGCGGUUGGGGCGGCCGGGAUCCACUCUGGCUGACCAAGCUUCAAGUUUGAGCGCGUCUCCGGGCGGGCACGCGCGUCGGGUUGUUCGGCACUACUGCUAGCUCGUUCGUCCAUCAAUAAACGUGCGCGCUGCGCUUGCUUCCUUGGUCAGUUCCUUGUUUAAUCCUUCCUCGGGGUUCGUUUUUAAGAGGGCUGGACUUUCGUGUUGAGUCGGAAAAUUUGUGUGACGGCAAAAUAAGGCUAGUUUAUAGUUUAUACUGCAAGUAAUUUUGACAGUAACAUAGAUGCCAACUAGACAUUUUGGUGACUUGGCAUGACAAUAAAUGGAAAAAAGAGUGAUGUGGUAACACAAAUCAAGACAGGAUAAGUUUACACGACAAUUAAUGACACAAUGCAUGACACCCCACAUAAAUUACUAACCAAUAUGAAGGUAGUUAUGUUAUUACUCUAAGUUACUCCGCAUGAACAGCCUAAGGGAAUGCUGGCACGUCUAUUUUCAAUGUCAAUGCUGGCACGUCUAUUUUCGUGAUGAAAAGUUAUCACUAAUGUACUAUAUUUAUAAGGAAACAUGAAAUGCCGACGGUAGCUUGAUUAUUACACAACCCGUGCUUCAUUAUUUCCAGCACAUCGUUCGUUCAUUCAAGGAAAGUGUCGCCUCCCGAUUGUUUUGUCUUAGGAGAAGAUGCACGGGGAUUAAUAACAUUCUUCCGGCUCAGCUGUUUUGGAGCACGAGCCCCAGCCGGUACCACAGAGAGAACGUGGUUUAGAGAGGAUCACAGGUGCAUGGGCAUGAACUCAUGGGGAAGACCAGCCAGCCAGCCUAGUGGGAACAGCUGGCGCGACAGUUGCGAAAUGGACCCCCAACGAACGAAUUAGCUGUCAAAAGUGAGCAAAUAAACGAACCGCAGCCCGGGCCAUGCCACCGGUGCGUGCAUGCGUGCUACAGUACGCUUCCUUCUUCUUUGCCCAUCCCAUCCUGUCCAUAUUCCCCUGAUUAUUUUUGCGGCAAGGUUGGCCGGAGCAUUUCGCCGGAGGCCAUUUACGUUACGAGUUGCGACAAUUGGCAUGGCUUCGGCCGGUACGAAAGAGCAUAUGCGAGCUGCCAUUCUGGCUUCUGAUUGCGGCCGGCUAACCGACUGAAAACGCGUGUAGAGAAAAACAACAACGUAGCUUCUCGUAUUCUUUCGCGGCGGGAGAGGUUUCCGGUAGUGGUAGAUCAAAGGUGCACUUCACGUAGGAGUAGUUGAUAAGUUGAAGAAGGCCUGGUCUGGACGGGAAGGUCGUGGCGUGGAGUCGGAAUUCCGCGGGAGCUUUUAACGCGCGCUCCUCAGACUUCUCGUUCUUUACACCCAAGGACCGGGUUAUUUAUGGUCGUCGCUUUCACGGCGUGCGCGUGGUGAACCGCCUUUCUUCUCCCCUAGCGUCACGACACCGGCCGCCCGGGGCGCACGCCGAAGUUAUGGCCAUCCCAGCGGCGGGGGCGGACGUAGGCGGACGUGUCGUGUGGUUCGUUGCGUCCUGGGGGACGCUCGUGGGCGUGGAAGGAAUGGUGCCGCACUGUGGGAAUCAAGAGAACAUUUUGAUGGCAAACUGUAGAGUGCUACUCCCUUAUUUUCCACAGGAGUUAAACCUAGCGACAGAUCGUAUAAUCUCUCGUUGUGGGUGCGCGUCAGUGCGUGUCAGGAGUGAUCACCAGACUUCCGGGUACACGUAUCGUGAUUUACCAGUAACCGUCGCAUCAAUUUUCUUAGAAACUGCACCGAGUAAGCCGGCAGAACAAUGGCUUUAUUGAUUCAUUAAAAAAAUUAUACAAUAAUCAAUACAAUCGUUACGAACCAAGGGAGAUUCAUCCUAUCAGCAUGGUCGGGCCCAGCUUUAUUAAAGGGUAUUCAGUUGAACACCCAUCAAAUUUUGCAAAAAAAUGAAUAUGUACACCAUGUAUUCUCUAUGUAUGCAUGUAAAUAAGAUUUUGGGACUAAACUCAAUGGUAUUCCAGCAUUGAGUGUAAAUAUGGACUAGUCCAUCUCUCUUCUUCCUCCUCCAAGUUGGACCAAUGCUCCAAAUAGGAUUUCGGAUCGCCGAAAACCGAACUAUAUGCUCGACACAUGUAGUCUCGUAUGACCUUUAUUGAUGUCGAUCUACUCCUCACAUCUCCUCGCCUCCUUCUAAAUCCCCAAACAGACAUGUCUCUGAUUCUAAAAGCCUAGCGACUGCUCCUACCUCCUCAUUUACUCUGCUCCUCGAUGUCCCCGCCUUUGGGUUGACCGCUGCUCUGUGAUUCGUUGCUUCCGCCAUCCCACGGUUUCACAUGUGCGUUGAGUUGCGCACAACAGAAUAACGUCUCAAACUCUCGAUCAGAGACGCAAAUAUUUGCAAUUUUGAUUAGCAAAUUUUCAGAACAAUUUUGAAUCCUGGGCCCGCCCCUGCCUGUCAAAUCCAUCUUUGACAUCUCCACAUUCCUUCAUGUAUGUAUACCCGAUAAGAGUCCUAUUUGCAUCAUUUUUCUCUCACUUAGUUAACCUUUUAGCAUCAUGUUUUUCCUCAAAUCUGAAUGCUAUAAGUACAGUAUAAUAUUUGAUAAAAAACAGAUUUACACCAUGCGUAUUAUUUUUGCUGCUCCACCUCCGUGGCCACGCCGGCGUGGCGGCGCGCCACGAAGCUCGCUACACCGUGCCCCCGACCUGCUGCUGCCCCUCCUCCACUCCGAUGACAAGAUGCUGCACCCCAUCGUGACAAGCAUCUACAGCCCCUGCUGCCCCUCACGCACGUUCAGCAGCGACCAAGGAAACCAAUGACUUCGACGAGCACGAAGACCCCAUGCAACUUCUUCCCCAUUUCCAACUUGUGCUUCCCCUAUCUCCUAAGAUAAUCCACAUCCGAUUCUCUCCCUUUUCUUCCUUUUGCUUGUUGUUUGUAUGAACUGAAAGUGAGAACUCGUGUUGAUUUUGUAGAGCCGCAACCUGUUUGUUUAAAUGUCGGUGUGAGAUCUUGAUGAUUAUUGUGUUGUUCAACUAUGAUGAUAUUUGUGAGCUAUAUAACUGUCUUUUGUCCCGUGAUUUGUGUGCAAUAUAUACAGUGAAUGUGAUUUAAAUUUUUAUGAUAAAAUAUACAUGUGUUGCCCUGUUAUGAACUCUCUCCUUUUCCUAAACAAAUCGAUUGUUUUCUUGUCUUAUCUGUUUGCUCGUGAGAUUACUUGUUGUUCCUGUUAAUUGUCUAUGUAAAUCUGCCUCUGUCUUUGAUGUUUGCUUGUGUUAGUGUUUUAGUUAUCUAAAGUAAAACAAAAAUCACAAAAAUAUUGUUUAAGUGGUGUCUUUAUUUUUGGUUUGAAAAUUUCCCACAGUGCUUGAUUGACCUAGUUUUAGUUGAAGCCCGAUUGUUCAUCGCCUAGUCCCUGAGGAGAAACGAUAACCCGAAGUUUGGGCGAAAUACCCACUGCUAUUCUACACUCAACCAAUACUCAUAAUUUUUGAAAAGUUGUAUGUGACGUCCACUUUUAAACAUGGGAAAAUUGGCUGGGGGACACCGUUAUUUUGUGGCCUUUGCUGAAACACACCGUCGGAACGUGUCUUUGUCCAGUACCAUUACAAUUUUGUCGACAUUUGCCGGAGCACAUUGUAUGGUCCAAAACGGAAAGUUUGACUUUUUUCACAUUGAGUUAUCAUUCUAUCCUUUAGCAAAUGUGUAUAAAAUCUUUUAAACUCUCUGUUCGAAGCGUUUUCCUCAUGCAGAGUGCAGCAACAAAGGAGAUGAACGCCCACAUCGAGCAACAACGGACCCUAGUAGAUGUCAAAAAUCGAUUCGUACAAAGGAAAAAAGUUUUCAAAUCGGAUUUACGAUGGUAGUCCCAAGUAAAAAUGCCAAAUUCUCGAUUUCAGUCGACGCACUGUGUUCUAACAAAUGUCCACAAAAUUGUAAUGGUCAAAAAUACAUUCCAACGGUGUAUUUCGGCAAAGCCACAAAAUAACGGUGUCUUCCGGCAAAUUUCCUUUUAAACAAUGAGAACUUUAAAUCAUUGAACACAUUACAUUAUUAUCAGGGUCUACGAGUCAAGAAACAGCGGCUCGUUGAAGUAAGCAUACGAGACUAGUACAGAUUACAGAUUAUGUAAAGAAAGCAUUCUCGUUUUUUUUUAGCCAAAGAAAGCAUUCUCGUUGGAUUCCGUUUCAGGCUGUAUUUGGUUCAAGCUCCGUUUAGCACACACGAGCGGCCCACGAAUCUGGGCCAGAUCAAGCCGAGCUCAAGUACCUCUCAACCGGCCCAUCUCGGAAGCAUUCAAGCCGGGCCGAAGUGCUCUUCUUCCCAACGCCCGCAAGCUCUCGCGGCUGCCGUUCUGCCAAGCGACCCCCAAAGCGGCCAGCAAGCCUCCUCCGCUCACACUGACACACAAACACCACAAAGGCGUGCACGCAAUGAGGCCCUUCCUGCUCACGCCGGGCGCCCGGCUCGCGUCGGCCCCCUCGCCGUCAACGCUCUCGCGCCUGCUCCUCCCACUCCACCUACAAAACCGCCAUGCCCACGCCUCCCCCUCCCCCUCCCUCCACGCGCGCACCAACCGCUCCUCGCCGCCUCUUCGCCGCCGCAGCGGUCGCUUCUUCGCCUCCUCCGCCUCGUCCUCUCAGGUCUGGCUGGCCUCUCCGCCUGGCGCCUAAAACCUAGUAUUCGACCUGUUUGGGUGGUUACGGACCAACUGUUCGAUGGAAUGCCUCGCCUGCUGCGAUAGUGGUUUUGGCUGACGGUUUCCCGGUGUUUGGCCUGUGUUGCAGAUGGCGGCGCCUGCCGAUGCCCCGGGCGGAUCCGCGGACGCGUUUGAGGUGAUCCGCGCUCACCAGGUGCGGCCCUUGGCCUGGAUUUGCGUGGGGAUAGUACUAUGCAAAAUUACAACUUGUAAAACGAAAAAUCCGGUGACUAUCGGCCAGUAGUAGCACGCCAGCCCCUUGGGAUUCUAUAAACAUUUUUAUAAUUUUGAGAACUGAGGAUUUGACAAACUUAGGGCAAGGUACUCGUUGCAUUUUUUUUUUUCAGAACCACGUCCUGGGCUGGGUAUAUGUUACGGAAUCAGAUAGAAUUACCAGGAUGAUUAAAUACUGUACUGCGAGACAGGCUUAAAAUCGUUCCUCUGUUUUGGUUUUUUAGAUAAUUAGUACGCGAGCAAAAAGAAACAUAUCAUCAGUAAUUGACAAUGAUAUGAAGAGUUUUACUCGACACUAGCCCACAUUUUAAUGUUAUGGGAUUCUCUUCUGGCCGACUGUUCAUCCAUAUUCCCUACCCAAACCAAUGUCAGCUGAAUUUGCAAGAUAUGCCCUUCAUGUGCCCUAUUAGAUAUUUGAAUGAUCAGCCGGUGGAACUAGUACAUGCAAUAUUUGUGAGUUGUGACAGCUCCGAAUAAAUACCUUAAUAAGGUAUAAAGUUGUCUUAGAUUUUUAAUAAAGAGAACUCUUAAAGAAUGUAGGUUUUACUCCUUUGCCAUCUCAAGGCCUUUCUUAUUCACUCAACAUCGUCAUAAUUAUAGGUAAAAGCUGCUCGGCUUCCUCCUAUUGAAGAAAUACGAACCAUUCUCGACCGGAGUGUCAGGGGUGUUCUGGCCACCCAUUCCCAGGUAUGCUAAGAAGUAUUCUUGUAUUUGCAUUAUUAGUGGACAUACAUUUUGCCAGUCUUUUCCAGGAUCUGUGAUUUUACAAUUUUAUUGAAAAUAGUAAACAUUGAUUGCCUUGUGGAUAAGUGAAGAGUGAGCCUGGUCCUAUUUCUGUGAAGAGCUUCUCUUGAUUAAUGAUUAUGAAGCUUACUAAUUUUUUUAAACUGCUUAAUAACCUCAAUUUUCAGUUUUCAUUGAAAUGUAACACGUGUUUGCCUUGGUACCUCUCACAUAUUUAGUACAACGAUACAUAGUUUUGUACUAUGUUAUACUUGAACGGAUUGUCUCCUUCCUGCACAUGCCUUUUUUGUUUUAUGAUUUUGUGAAUGAUGAAGGCAAAUGCAAUAUUCUUUUGUUGUCGAUUAGUUGAUUAGAGGAAAGCAAUUUGUAGCUUUAAAAGUACAAAGCAGGUGAUAGUGCAGAGUUUUACGUUUUACAGUGACCUUUUUGGAGUAUGUAUAAAAUGUCAUUCUGUUUACAGGAACAUGUAGGUUAUCCAUCGGGUUCAAUGGUUGAUUUUGCUUGCGAUCAAGAUGGUUCCCCCAUAUUAGCAGUGAGCAGUUUAGCAGGUCACUCGAAGGUAAGAUCGUUUUAUAGUCUCAUGAUUACUAGUAUGUUGGUACGUGUGCAAGCACAUAUUGAAACUACUAUGACAUGAAUUUAAUAGAAAACAUUUAUGGAACAUAUUUUAAAUAGAGUAUCAUGAUUGUAAGAUUGUUGAGGCAAGGAAGCUAUCAAUAUAACAAUGUUGCUCUGCUGUAGCUAUGAUAUUUCAAUUCUUGAAAUGGGUUAUUGUAUUGCAAAAUGUGUUUAAACACCCAACUCUAUAUGAACUAUAAAAUAUAAGUAUAAGAUCAUUAUAUAUAUGUAUAAAAAUAUCAUUAAUCUGAGGCGUGCAUGUUUGUUCAAAGAAAAAGACCUCCGAACUUCUAGUGUUGGUGAAACUUGGUGUGAAGCUAUGGACAAAUGCGACAUUACCAAACACCAUCUCAAAUUAUUCACAAGUGCAUGGAGUAGUGAAACAAUAGACUAUACUAUAUGCAUGAUGUUUUAGGGGAAACAACAGGGCAACCUAGCAUCUACCAUUAGUUCACUUCAAGUGUAGCACAGUUUUACAACACAGGACAGUGAACCAGCACAACACAAUUGGCAGUGCAUUGUUUUUUCAUGAAGGAGGUGGUGGUUUCGAUCCUUGGUGUCUGGAGUUUUUCUAUCCCCAUGUACCCAAGAAGUUGAUCUGGCAGUCAGCAUUGACACUUUGCAUCUGUUGGAUGCAGCAGAUCGAGCGGCUAAUAUCCAAACUUAUUCUGACGCUUCAUAGCAGUAUAGGUUUAUACAUGUAAAAAAAAACUGUUGACACUUUUUGACAUGCAUGGAGGCCUUACACGUUUAGUGAUAUUACUCUAACACACAUGAUAACACUGACAGGAAUACUAGUACAUGCGUGUCGUGUGGACAUAAAAAGCAAGAAGGAUAGACAUAAAAAAUUUAAAACUGAUGGCCAGUAUUCUGUGAAAAGAAUAGCUGCCCUGCAUCUGCUAAAUUCAGAAGAAACAAAAAUGAGUUUUGUUUCCAUUUUACCAUAGUUCUAUUUUGUUUCCAACAUUUUUGCAGAAUCUUUCUGGAAGUUCUAAAUGCUCACUUCUGGUUGCCAAAGACCCAGAGGACAGAACAGAUACUGUAAUCACUGUAUAUGGUGAUGCGACACCUGUAAUUCCCUCCUCUGGCUCAACCUAUAUAUUUUUGUGCUCAUGUCCUGAUAGAUUUCUGUAGCGAUACUUUGCUAAAGAAUACUGUACAUGUUUCCAGAUAAUUAUGUGGUAGCUCAUUUCUUCUUUUUUUACUGUAAUGUGGUGGCUCAUUUCUCAUUUGGUUUUCUAUCUCAAAGGUUUCAGAUGAAGAAAAAGAUGCAGUGAGAAGCGCGUACUUACGGAGACACCCUGAGGCAUUUUGGGUAUGUUUGAUACAUCAUUACUGUUUCUAAAGUAAUUGAAGAAUAUCACACUGAGUACUAGUUCUGAUGCAAAUUCUCCAAAUCAAGGUUGACUUUGGUGACUUCCGUUUUCUGCACAUCAAACCAAAAGCUGUGCGUUAUGUAUCUGGGGUUGCAACAGCUAUCCUUGGCUCUGGAGGUACGUGUACCACCUUUUUGAAUGUCCUAGUUAAAGCUACUCACCAUCACUACUUCCUAUUUCUGCAUGUAGAAUCUGAUUUAGCCUCUGUGCUGAAGAUAAAUUCAUUUAACGUGAAUACUGGUGCACUUAGAAGAUGCAAUUCUUUAGGAGGAUGAUGCCAGACUGGCUUCACUCCACUCUGCAUUUUAUACAGGCGGAAGGCAUAAUAUCCUCUAUCGUGUUAGCUGCCUUUUCCUUCUACAAGAACCAGAUGUCCAUUGGUCUAAUCAACUGUUCAUUUGUUUUUGAGUUGCUAUGUAGUGUUCCUGUGACACUCAUCCUAUGCUCCUAUAGCUAAUUUUGUCGAUUUCUCUAAAUACAAAAUAUAGUAUGAUUUGGUGAUGAUGGUGCCUGAGAUAUUAUUCUGUUCUCCACAUCCCCAGAAUUUAGUGCUGCUGAGUUCAAGGAAGCAAAAGUGGAUCCUAUAUCUCAAUUUUCCACUCCUAUUACAGUAUGUUUUAAUAUUUGCUGAAGUUCAUAGUAAACCUACUGAUCUUUCAUUGGCAAAUUUAUGCUCAAAUUUAGCUGUAUAUAUUCCACAGAGCCACAUGAAUAAGGAUCAUGCUGAUGAUACCAAGCUCAUUGUGCAACAUUCAACCAGUGUUAUGGCAAGUGCAAUAUAAAGCUUAAGUACAUGGUGUUUCGUCAUGAAUGUCACUCUACAAAGAUAUAAGAUACCUAUAUUUUUCUGAGACAGUUAUAUACUCCCUCCGUUCCAUAAUUCUUGUCGAAAUAUUACAUGUAUCUAGACACUUUUUAGGAAUAGAUACAUCCAUUUUUUAGCAAACUUGAGACAAGAAUUAUGGAACGGAGGGAGUACUUAUGUAUUCUUUUCAUUUCAUAUUUCAGUUUCUUUCUGUAUAACUAGUAUUUUAGUUAUUCUAUGGUAUGACGCGGUAUGUUUAGUCUGAAAAAGGAAAUGUUAGUUCAAGCAUAUGGUUCUUUCCCAAACAUAAGCUGGAAAAAGUGUAAGCAUCAGUACAUCACACAUAUCUAUGCAAGUCUUGACUCAGUAAAACAGCUGCACAAUCAACACUUACUAGGCCAGUUUGCCAAUGACAAAAGCAAUUAGCUUUAUAAUCUAGCUGAUAUCUCUCCUUAUCUGCUUAGUCUUUUGGGCACCAUGAACUAUUACUAUUAGUAUUACAGUAUGCUGAGUCUUGAACAUGAAUAACUGCUUUAGAUUCGAAGCAUUGUGUAGGUUGUCAGUCUUAACUACUAACAGAGUACAGACCAUGUGGUGUCCAUCGAGCAUAUAGUAGCACAUGAGUUAUACAUAUUAAAAGAAAUGUUAAUGUUUCAUUUCAAUAUAUUGAGGGAUGAGAAAUAUAAGCUAUUUCAGGUGGAUUUUGCUUCUAUGCUGGAUGUCGAUAGCCUUGGUAUUAAUGUGAAGGUAACAACUCUAUGACAUCUGUGUCUUGUUCUUGUUUGCUAAGAACAUAUCACCAAAUCGCACUAAUGUAUCCUGGGAAUACUAUUCUUUCUUCUUCCAAGAAACAAUCCUGAAAUGCAGUUUACCCUCAGCACCCACAGCCAACAAUGUCAUAUGUACUGUAUUUAAUGGUUACAUCAUAACUGAAAACAAAAUGUGCAAUUUAUUCUUUAGGGCUAUUCGAUGAUUGGGCAAUGAUGCACAUCUUUGAAUUUAUUUGAUCAGAGCUUUAAUGUGCUGCCCUAUAUUCUAGUGAAAGCCCAAACCUGUGGUGACAUUGCACUCAGCACUUUCCUAAUUGUGCAGGCUGGUUAUGAUGGAAGUGUUCUGAAGCUGCGUAUCCCCUUCCCUAGGCGUGCACAGGACAGAAAGUUGGUCCCUGUUUUGUUGUGUUUUUUCUCGUAGUAUGCAUACUACUUUAUCCACUCUGCUCUAUGCUUAUCACUGUAAUGAUGCUUAUACGGUCAUACCUGCUCUUCUCAUAAUGGGGUUUAGGGUCCUGUUUAAAUUAGGCUUAAACAUGAAUACAUGGUCAUGUAUUUUCUUCUCCUGUCCUGCUCCACUGUAUGCAUAGAACUGUUCUAGUGUUCAUUGUGUAUUGUAUUCUUUACGAAUGAUUAUGCAUUUUCUGAACACUUAUGUUCCUCAAUAACUCCUAGGUCUACAAUCUGCUGAAUGGCGGAUUAAUUGAUGACUAGACACUGUCAUUCUGACUACUUACCCUUUUUUUUUUGCGACAACUCAUUCUGAUUACUUACGUGACUGACUCUAAAUGGUCUUGUUGUUCUGCACAGGGAUGUGAAGACACUUAUUGUGGAAAUGCUACAGGCCGCAAAAGCCUCCUCCUCACAUGCUGAAUGACCUGUUUUCUCGGAUGGUGGUGGCUUUGUUCAUGUAAAUGAAAAAAGAAGAAGCCUAAAUCAAUGUCGUUGAAGAUUGAUCCACACAGAAUUCCAUUGUUUCAUGCAUCAGCGAACCAUUGUAACAAUGAACAGUCCACUUGAACUUCGUAAGUGAAUGCAAAGCGAUUUGUAUAUUUUUUUAAUGAACCGUUUUGCCCCCAUACAACUCUUUCAACUGGUUGUUCACUAGAAAAAGCUUAUCCUGUUGGAAGGAUUCAGAUACGGAAAGCAUAUUCUUUUCACGUUCUAUAAUCCAUGUGGACAGUCAACUGGCGAGUUGUAAGAUGGUUUGAUGAGAUGAAACAUGAAAGAUAGAAAAAAAAACAUUGUUGUUGGUGUUGGCAUCAUAUCCUUAGCAAAAGUAUAUCUAACACUCCCUCUGAUCCUAAAUUAUUGUCGUUGUUUUAGUGCAAAUUUGAACUAAAACAACAACAAUUUAGGAUCGGAGGGAGUAACAUCUAAAAGAAAACCGGCACAGGGCCUUUUGUAUUUGCACGAUUCCAAAAAUGCAGAAAUAGAAAUGGAUAUCACGUCAUUAUGCUCAAUCCUACUUCCUUCGAUCCAUAAAAAGUGUCGCCCACUUAGUACAAAAUUUGUACUACUCCCUCCGUCCCAUAAUUCUUAUCUCUAAUUUGCCCAAAUGAAUGUAUCUAUUAUUAAAGAAAAGUCUAGAUACAUGUAAUAUCUCGACAAAAAUUAUGGGACGGAGGGAGUAACUUAGUACAAAAUGUGCAACACUUUUUAUAAAUCAGAGGAAGUACAUGAAUUCUUCCUGAAAAAAAAUUCCUAUGUAAAUUUAAAAAACUGGAAUAUUUAAUAUAAAUUGUUUUGUCUGAAAACUAUAACAAACCAUUUGGUAGCCCUAAUUUCAUUUCAGUAAAAAAAUGUAUCAUUUCAUUUGGUUGAAUUUGAAUUUUGGAUUGAAAAAUCUUGUUUGUCUGCCACAUAGAUUUCUACAAUGAGAGACAAAUCUAGAGAAAAUGAUGCAUUUUAGAGAGAAACUGAGGUCAGUUAUAGAUGUGAUUAUAUGUAAUUUUGAUUGAAUUCAUGUAUCUAAUUCCGUGUCAACCAAACAAGUUAGUUCCUAAAAUCCAAAAUGAAGUUUGAAAUUCUCUCCAAAAGAGUUUCUCCUUGAUUCCCUUGAUCUUUAAGUUUGUCCUUGUAAUUUUUUUAGGGUAGGUUGUUUUUUCUCUUCGUGGUUUUUGUUUUCUGUAUUUUUUUUAUGAAUCAAUAAAGUCAAAGCAUUGUUUUAAAAAGUGCUUCAAAAUAAUUAGUAUUUCCUCCGUCCAACAAAAGAUAUCUCAAAUUUGUCAAAAUUUGAAUGUAUCUAGACAUGACUUAGUCUAUAGAUGCAUUCAAAUUUAGUCAAAGUUGAGACAUCUUUUGUUGGACGGAGGGAGUAAGAGUAUUACGUUAAAAGAAGUUUAAAUGGGAAAGUUUGGAAUGGAAAAAAACCGUCUCACUGGAGGAGGUAAAAAUCGUCUCAACGUCGCCGUCAGCUUGCUUUUCCGUUUCCUCUUCCUCGCCGCGACGCUUCUUUCUGCCCCUCCUCACUCCCCAGUGUCCACCUCCGAUUCUCAGCUCUUUCAUCACCGAGCACGCGGGGGCGAGUAUCCGACCGAGCACGCGGGGGCGAGUAUCCUAGGCUAGCGCUUGUCGAGCCCCGCCCCGCAUCCACUCCUCUUCUGCCGUGAAGCAACGACGGCAGGCGGCGGCAGCAGUAGCGGCGAGCCGAGGGCCGAGAGGGAGAAAUGGAGUACAGAAGAGUGAAGGAUCAGGUGAGCAUCACCCGAAACCCUAGGGAAAUGCCACAAACGCCGACGUGACGCUGGUCCUGACUGGCCUUUAGGUUAGAUCGCUGCGGCGGCCGAUUUUUUUCUUUUUCAGUUUUUGUUUGCCUUUAUUGUCACCAUAGGCUUCCAAGAUUUCCCCGUCGCCCGCGGUGUUUUAUGUCACUGGAAUGUGGUACAAUAUUUGUUUCCUAUUAGUUCGAUUGAGGAUAUUUGUAGAGUGUUAAGAGUGUCGGUGGUCAUCUAGUCGUGGUUAUACUGGUUAGUGCCCACUGAGAAUCCGUUAGAGAAUUGAAAUUCUGGAUUAGAAUACGUUAGGGACUGCCGUGGUCAAGGACUUUAAUUUGUUGAAGAGUUCAGUAUUAACUCAUUGGGAGCUGACUUCGAAAUUUUGGUGACUGGUCUCAAGAAUUAUCUCCAUUGGGGUUUUCUGAACCUGACUAACUAACGCAUUACUGAUGAGUUAAGAUUGUAGUGAUGCCCGCAGUGGAUCGCUGAGAAAUGUCGACACUCCAGAACAACGCUCUUUAAGACAUUCUUACGUAAUUCCAAAGUUUAGCCGUGCAUUUUUUUGCCUUGCUUGUAACUAGUUGCAUUUUUGUCUUAUAACUGACUGCAAGUCUGAUUAACUGCGAUCGAUGUUUAAUUUUUGUAAUUUACAAAUUUGAUUGGCAAAUGCGUUUGGAUAUUCAAAGAGUGGCGUUCUUGCAUUAUCUAAAAAAAACAGCACACUCCAGAACAACGCUCUUAAGACAUUCUUAUGUAAUUCCAAAGUUUAGGCGUGCAUUUCUUGCCUACCUUGUAACUAGUUGCAUUUUUCUCUUGUAACUGACAGCAAGUCUGAUUAAACUGUGACCGAUGUUUUUCUUGUAUUUACAAAUUAUAUUGGUAAAUGCAUUUGGAUAUUCAAAGACUGGGUAUUUGGGCACAGCAUCUUGUAUGACUUUUAGCCAUUGAUGAACUUAUUAGUUUGUACAUUGUUCUUCUGAGACAAUGGAGUGAAGUAACUUGAACUCAAUUUAACCAGUUAAACAUUGCUCAGUUAAGUUGAGUUGGGCGUGAUUUCAGAAACAGAUUUUGCAUGUUAUCAUAUUAGAGGUCAGAGCAGACUAGUCUAUUAUGACGUAAACUCGCAACACGACUAAAUUUGUUCAGUCGUUUUAUCCUGUUGAUGUUUGCCACCAAUUGGUAGCCUGGGGCUGAGCUAAAUUUCAAGCUCUGGCAAUGUCUUAAUAUGUUUGAAGUUCUGUGGGUUACAAUAAACUCGUACUUUAUCAAUUGUGUUGUGUGCUGACAAGUUGUCUUAUCCUGUACAAUCUAAAGGAGAGUUAUGAUGUCAUAUCUCAGAAGGACAUAGAAAGCCCUGAUGGGAGGACUCUUUCUAGCAGUAAGCUCUUGUUUCCUCAUUGAAAUCUUCUCUUUGGAUGUUCUAUAAUCAGGAACGUCACAUCUUUAAUACUUGUCCUAUAUACAGCCACAGCAACUUCCACCCUUGGCGCUGCAGGAGGUCUGAAGGGCAAGCAGAGCUGGAAGCAAAAGUAAGAGUUAAUUGCUGCAAUCUUUGUGCUAUAUGCCUAUAUCACAUGCUUGCUGAAAAUCAAAAGAUUCACUGGCAACUGUUAAUUGCUAUGGCAGGUCUGUUGUUACGAUUGCAUUGACAUUACUAACAAGUUCUCAGGCAAUACUUAUCGUGUGGUCAAAAAGAGCUGGAAAGUAUGAGUAUAGUGUCACAACAGCUAAUUUUUCGGUGAGAAUUUAUUUUUCAAUUAAGUUUAAGUUCUCUCUUGGUGAUGGUAGGAUCAGGAGCUUUCCUUUUGCUCUCUUCAUACCAUGAUUGAGUUAUGUAUUUAUUUAUGCCUAGGUCGAAGCUUUAAAAUGUCUAUUGUCACUUUUAGCCCUGUAUAGAACAUGGAACAGUCAAGGUGUUACAGAAGAUAAUAGGUGAUAGUUCUACCAUAAUCUAGCGAUUGCUUUCCGAGUACAUAUUGUCUUGUUCCUACUCUAGCAAUUUAUUUUUAUUAUUUUCAGGUUAAGUACAUCGUUUGAUGAAGUUAGUGUUUAUCCUAUUCCCGCCAUACUUUACAUGGUAAAGAAUCUGUUGCAGGUAUGUCUACUCGUCAAGUUUUCAUGUGACCAAAUAAUUUCGUAUUUGUAACAACAAAAGCUUGACACAUACUUCCACUUUCUGUCAGUAUUACAUCUUUGCUUAUGUGGACGCACCAGCUUACCAGAUCCUGAAGAACCUGAAUAUCAUUAGCACUGGUGUUUUAUACCGUAUCAUUCUAAACAAAAAGUAAGCUCUACUCACUUAAUGUGGCUUUGGGAGUUGGGAAUAAGGGGAGAUGAUAAGCAGGGGCGGAGGCAGGAAAAAAAUAUAGGGAGGGCCAGAAUAGAAGGAUGAUUUAUUAGAGAGGGCCAAAACAUAAGAAAUGAAGCUCAUAUGAUGAAAUUGUAAAGAUUAUUCAGGGACUGAAGGUCCCUGCCUCCGCCACUGAUGAUAAGCUGUGUUCCUUUUACUACUUUGCCGGCAUCUUUAUAGCAGCCAAUUGGGGUCCUUUUUUCUUCUUCUUCUUCCUUUGAAGCCUUGUACUCCCUCCGUCCAAAAAUAAGUGACAUGGUUUAUACAAAUCCACGUCACUUAUUUCCGGAAGGAGGGAGUAAUAUAAUUUGGGAACUACACCUUGCAGAAUUUGUGAUUUUUCUGUUGUUAUUCUAGGAUGGUGAUUGUUGAACUUAUGUUCCAUCACUGAAUGCUUAUGUUCUUUCCAGGUUAAGUGAAAUUCAGUGGGCUGCAUUUAUUCUUCUAUGUGCUGGCUGCACUACGGCUCAGCUUAACCCCUCGUAAGCAAAAUAAGUGUGCAUUUUUUCAUUCUCUAGUUAAUUUGUUCAACUAACAUAAGUAAUAUGCUCCUUUCAGAUCAGACCAUGUUCUUCAAACCCCUAUCCAAGGUUGGAUGAUGGCAAUUGUGAGUCACAAACGAGAAAAUCAUUUAAUCUAGUCGUUUGGACAUGUUAUAGGAAGUUAUUUGAACUGAACUGGCUGAAUGUUCCUUCUUUUUCAGGUGAUGGCUCUUCUAAGUGGUUUUGCUGGGGUAUACACAGAAGUAUGUAACUUGGUGCAAUUGCUCCUAUUUGCAUAUAUUUUGAUUUAGAAGGAUUUAUUUGAUUGGACUCUGAAUUGUUUUGAGACAUAUUCAUCUUUGGACAAUGCAGGCUAUCAUCAAAAAGCGUCCUUCGAGAAACAUCAAUGUGCAGAAUUUUUGGCUUUACAUUUUUGGAAUGCUCUUCAAUUUAGUUGCCAUUUGUGUUCAGGACUUCGAUGCUGUCAUGAAUAAGUUAGUUGUGUUCAGAAUUACUUCGUAUCAUGUUAGAAUAUUCUGUUACAAUGAAUUAUAUUUCUUAUUUUAAUUCGACCAUGCCAUCUAAUGCAGAGGCUUUUUUCAUGGCUACUCAUUUAUUACAUUUCUGAUGAUCCUUAACCAUGCACUCAGGUACUGCUGCUAGAUGUUUUAACUGAUUCAAUAUUGGUUAUUUGGGAUUAACUUACCUUCUAGGUGUUCUUGUUUUGCUUUCCAGUGGAAUAGCUGUAUCAGUGGUGAUGAAGUAUGCUGACAAUAUUGUCAAGGUACAGAUUGUCAACUACAACUUUUGUGGGCUAAAUAAACAUGUGAUAAGUUAAAACCAUCUUUGCAGCAAAAUUGCACAUUCUAAUAAUUGUUUAUUAUUCCAUUACCUCUGAUAAUCCCUACUAAGCCACCGCUUCUUGUUUAAGUGGCAGUCUGUGAUGACAACCUUGGAUGUUAUCAUCAAGCUUUUGUCCUCACCUGUUGGUUUCAUUCAAAGAAAAGAUGUGAUUUAUUUACUCGUUGCAUGGCAUUAGAACCGUUCAUGCAUCACUAGUUCAACUUAAUUUUGGAUGGCUAUCUCAGUGAAAUUUUAUGCCAAGUGGAGAACUUUUGAUAUUUAUAUUAUCUCAGUAUUUUGUGUCUUGGUGGGCUACAAAAGUCAAUGAUGGAUUUAUGCAACUAUGGAUUCUAAGGCAGUUACCAGUCCUUUUACAACAGCAUGGUUGUUUUGCCUUACGUUUCAUGGCUUACAUUUAGAUUACAUCUUAGAGCAUGUGUUUUAGCAUGUCUGCAUUCUUAACAGCAACGACCUUAACCUCAUACAGCAUUAUGUCUAUACCUUCUUGAUAGGGAAUAAGUCACAAAUUCUGUAAGCUCACAUUUUCCACAUUCUGUUAUCUGAGAAACUAAGAUAUUUCACAUUCUGUUGUAUGGGGAAAUAUGUCACUGCACAAUCCAAUUAUCCAAAUAUGUUACCUCCGUUCCGGUAUAAAGGGCCUAGGCGUAUCCCUAGAUCGUUAAUUCAAUCAAUACAAUGUAAAUUGUAUAUCCAACAAUAAGUUAUACCAUUAGAAAAUAGAACAUUUGAAUUUCCUAUUGAUAAACUCGUGUUACAUUAGUUAAAUCGUUGACCUAAGGAUACGCGUAGGCCCGUUAUACCGGAACGGAGGCAGUACCUGAGAAACUAUGGUAAUAAACAAACCAUCUACUCCCUCCGAUCCUAAAUUAUUUCGAAAUAUUACAUGUAUCUAGACGCUUUUUAAGAAUAGAUACAUCCAUAUUUGGAUAAAUUUGAGUCAAGAAUUUAGGAUCGGAGGGAAUAGAUCUCUCUGAAAACACUCCACAGAUGUUCAUCCUUUCUAAAGCAAGACAUGAGACGCAUCAGCCUGUUAACCUGCAAAUUUGUGGGUGGUUUAACUGUCUUUAGAUAUCAAAUCUUCUGAUAUUUUAGAUACAUUGGAUUCUUUUAUUAGAGAUUCUUGAAUUAUUAUUGAGGUGGAUCAACAAUUUAUUGAUAUCACACUACUCUUUAGUAUUUACACAGUUGCACUAGUGUAUUCGAUCACCUAACUAUGUUUUCUGCAUACUUGCAGGUGUAUUCAACUUCAGUCGCAAUGCUUCUGACAGCAAUCAUAUCUGUCUUCUUGUUUGGGUUCCAUCUGUCCCUUGCAUUCUUCCUCGGAUCUACGUAAGUACCGAUGGAAGUGUGUAAUAACAAGUUAUCUCGAUUGAAGCUUUGUAAACCCAUGAUGGCCUAACAAACUCUCUUAUAAAUUCAGGGUUGUUUCUGUUUCCGUGUAUCUGCAUUCUGUCGGGAAGCCACAGCAGCAGAAAUGAGUUCGGCACCAUCUCUCCAAGAACUGGCAGCGAACGCUUCAAUGCUGCGUCAUGGAACGAUUCAUGGUAGCAAGCAACCCCCAACAUGUUUAACCACAACGGAGAUAGGAAUCUGUUCUUGAGCCAAGUUCCUUUUUGAACUGUCUUGAGCUAUGUUCCGAAGGACUUUAGUUUGAUCGAUAGCCAAAGGCGAUUACCUGUUGAUAUGUGGCAUAUGUCUAGCUCCAUUGCUAUCGUAACCGCAUGAGUGGUGGCAAACCCUCUGUUUACUCUUGCUUUGUGGCCAGAGGCUAGUUUCUUACCUGCGGAGGUCAGCUAGAUGUUUACCUAUACCAGGAUUAUUAUUCACACUGUAGCGAGAUCCCCCCCCCCCCCCCCCCCCACCCACCACGAGCUCCUCACUGUGAUUUCUCUUUAGCUCGAAAUUACCAUUCCUUUGUGGCUUGUACUGUAGAGGAACCUGCACAUGUCUGCAUGGCCCUAACACCCACAUUUGAUGGUCAACAAAAGAGAUGGCCAAACAGACAGCGAGACUCCUGCACAUGUCUGCACACGGAGCCUCGUCACAUUCACGAGCAUUUCUCAGUCCAGUCUCCACAGGCCAGCAACGCCGCCGUGUAGCCGUGACGUCCUUUUGCCAGGAUUCAAAAAAAAAAGAAGCGCCAAGUGGCCUUGAAGAUCUUCCGAGUCGAGCGUACGUUUCCCUCGUCAGACCGAGAAGAAAUGCUUUGAUCAACGUGUGGAGCUUGCCCGGAGACUGGCCAGAAGGAUGGGAGACAACGAGACUCCGUGCGUCCUCUUCGGGGUGGAUAUACUUGGACUUUCCACUUAUUUCAAACCACUUCGGCCCCGCUUGGCAUCCAGGAAAGUUUAUACUCCUGUAUCAGUUUAUCUUUUCCGGUCGUUUUGGGGCAAUACGAGCGUAAAAGAAAUCUGGAAACGACAAACCAAUCGCAAUUCUAAUCUUCGGGUGUAUAUUUUCUAGGGCCUGUAAAUUACACCGGUAAUGGGCCUCAAAACGACCAUCCAAGCAGGCCCGAACGUGGAUGAUAUAAGCCUUUUCGUCCCCUUUCAGAAAGGAAAAGGAAAUAAUCGACCGACAACGGAUGACCGGAAGGAACUGUAGACAAGGCCUCCCAAACGCAAAUGGAGACGCCGGCUCUAAAAAAACUCAUCCAACCCGUCUUCUAAAUCCAAAAAAUAGCCGGCGUGACCUAAAAACUUAGCCGGCGCCCGCAGACCACUCCCUACUCAUAGGGGCUAGCGGAGACGCCAGCUAAAGCUAAAAAACAGCGCGGGCCACCACUAUCGGUGAGACAAACCAAAUUUGAGGGGACAACGUUUGGGGAUGUGGGGAUGCGGCGGUCGCGAUUGGGCCUCAAACGAACAGCGUGCGCCGACGCCCCUCAUAUGCCCAUGGGGGAGACGAGGGCAGAUGCUCUAAGCUAAGCUAGCACUGCCUCCACUCCACUGGGCUGCACUGCAGCUGUACUUUGUGAUCUGCACACGCACACGGAUUCACGGGAGCACGACUCCAUCGCACAUUCAGGAACAUUUCAAAGCAAGUGCACGUUCAGCAUUAGUACAUCUCAGGGACUCCCCUCCUCUCGUUGCAAGUUUCCAUGCAUGGCCGCUAGCUCCAACUCUGCUCCUCGUUUUCUUUUUCUUUUGCUAAUCGCUCUGCUCCUCUUUGAUGAAAGGCUGUACGUGGCCCGUGGGAUCGAGCUGACACAAGGGGAAAAGGGUACGUGCCAAGUAGAAAGACGCCGCGCUUUAUCUGUGCUGUAUAUACUGGUAAAGUACCGGGUUUACCAGCGUGUAGUCUUCUCUGUGAAAAGCUGUCCGGCUAUGUUCCAGUGUGAACCAUUGCCACCAGCCGUUGGGAGAGGAUCAUCCUGCGGGAAGACCCUACAGCGAGCUUAAGAGCAACUCCAGCUGCCCCUCCUAAAGGCCCCAUAAAUGGGUUUCGGCGGCGUCGGCGCGAAAAAUCCGACCCAGCCGACCUCCCUAAAUUGUUUUCUUAGCCGACGUGGUUCAAAAUGUUAGGCGGUGUCCUCGUACUGAACCCAGCCCACCUGGCGUCACGGGCUAAUGGCGGACGAGCGCGGGGACCCGAUGUGGAACCGCGCCACCGGCGUGAACUGGGCGGUGCUGUUCGCCGACCGGCACGCUGACAUCGCCUGAUACGAGGGCCAAGGCCAGUGCCCUCUGCCGGGCCGGUUCAACAUCGACGGCCGGUGCCGGUUCUGGCGCGGGCGCAUCGUGGCGUCGGUGCUGGCCCACAUCGCCGCCGGCGACAACCCCCGGCUGGAGACUCCGCCGCCGCCGGUCCCACUGGCUCCGGCUCCGUCUCGUCCUCCCGCAGCGCCUGCUCGCCAGCGGGUUCGUCCUCCUGCCGACGGGUGCCCUCGCCGCCUCAUGGCCAUCUCCGCCUUGUCCGGCCAAAGCCGGUGCGGGAGUGGGCGUCGGAGCAGGCCUACGAGCGCCCGGCACUCGAAUGGCGAUCAGAUGACGACCCUGAGGAGUUCCCGGGGCUGCUGGCGGCGGAGCGCACCAGCCAGCGCGAGGCCGAAGAGACAGAACGCCUCGGCCUCGUCAUGACGGAUGCCCAGGCCGAGUCCUGAAGCUCAAAAGAGACGGCGAGAGAGACGGCCGAGAAGAAGACGGGGAAGAAGCCGAAGUCGGAGGUGAAGGUGGAGCCGAUCACCCUCGACUCCGACGACGCCUUCCUCGUCGACUUCAGCGACUAGCGCGGGCGUUUUUUUUUAAUUUUAGAAUUACGUAAUAAAAAAUAUGAUGUUUAAUUAAAUUUCAUCAAGUUUAGUUAAAUUUCGCCGAAUUUUGUUAAAUUUUGCCUAUUUUCAAAUUUUUUUUUGGGAGUUGGUAUUGGACCGCGGCUAGGUCACGGCAGAAUCAUAAAAAAAAAAUGUGCCGGCACCCUCCAAACGGUUGUGUCGGACGCCAAAUGAGAACGCCCGCUUGAGAUUCUCUAAUUCGGGGAAAACUAACCAACAUACAUUUUACACCGGUAUCAAAGGUUGGUAGGUCCUUCCAAAAAAAAGAGAGGUUGGUAGGUAGGUGGGGGAGAAUCGGGACAGGCACAAUCCCAUUAGAAGAACCCCACACAUUUGUGCGUGUGUUGUAAAAAAAGGGGCUCCCAGACAAGGUAGACACGGACGAGACCUCUGGGCAAAAACACCCAUGAAAGCUGUCAAAGGCACCCUCCAUAGCCCAUGAUCAAUCCAUGCAUCCUCUGUAUUCUAGAGAAAAAAAAAUCCAUGCAUCCUCCCUCAGCUCCUAGCUGCACGUCUAGCUAUAGCCAGCGGCACUCUCGACAUGCAUGCAACGAGACCCUGCCUGCCCCUGCACUACAUGCAUGCCUGCAUUGGACUGCAUUGCAAGUCCUGGAUUCUUGCCGCUGCCGGUGCAAUUAUUUCCCCCCGUCGAAUCCAACCAAAAGCGGCAGGCAGAGGCAGGAAGGGAGGCAGCGGCCUCUGUUUGCCAUGUGAAGGUGCCUUGUUUUUGUCCAGCGCUUCCCUUCCCUUCCGUUGUUCUCCAUCGGUUUGGCGUCCGGAUCAGCGCGCUCGUGAACCACAGCCGGCAACCGCGUAAUGUAUGUGCGUCCGAACUGACUGACGAGAUUCCGGCAUCCAUCCAUCCAUCCAUCCUUGCAUGUCUUCUUCUUUAGACAGAAAGAAAACAGAGAUAAAAACCUCAUUUUGGUCGGUUGCUUUCAGUGAUUUUUCCUUAACACAAUCAUACAGAUCACAUGGCAUGAAAUGUGGCACUAGUAUCUCACACGAGCCUGUCAUUUGAUUACAUUUAUCACCCGGUUCCUGGAUGUAGCCGGAUUUAUUUCUCAUCGUAGAAUGGUACAUGGAAAAUUGACUGUAUUUGUAGCCACCAUACCAUUUUUACUUUUAUAAUAUUUGUAGUACGGAGUACAAAUUUGACAAGAAUAUCUGUGGCUGAUUGUCUCGUUGAAGUCCUCUGUGCGCUUGUUGCGGCAUCAUCCGAUUGACCAACUUAUUUGGGGGAAAGAAGAGCGGUUGACUUUGAAGAGUUGGCGAGGUAUUGAACUGGAUGUCACCACAAGAGCAC